This 253-nucleotide ribosomal RNA is filed under the name uncultured bacterium. RNAcentral describes it as "partial 16S ribosomal RNA". It matches the Rfam family "Bacterial small subunit ribosomal RNA", at positions 524 to 776 of the family's 1533-position model. The record is from RNAcentral.
UACGGGGGGAGCAAGCGUUGUUCGGAUUUACUGGGCGUAAAGGGCGCGUAGGCGGCGUGACAAGUCACUUGUGAAAUCUCCGGGCUUAACUCGGAACGGUCAAGUGAUACUGUCGUGCUAGAGUACAGAAGGGGCAACUGGAAUUCUCGGUGUAGCGGUGAAAUGCGUAGAUAUCAAGAGGAACACCUGCGGCGAAGGCGGGUUGCUGGGCCGACACUGACGCUGAGGCGCGAAAGCCAGGGGAGCGAACGGG